RNAcentral lists this ribosomal RNA (466 nucleotides) under Leuconostoc mesenteroides. RNAcentral's name for it is "bacterial SSU rRNA". It matches the Rfam family "Bacterial small subunit ribosomal RNA", at positions 27 to 475 of the family's 1533-position model. Lineage: Bacteria; Bacillati; Bacillota; Bacilli; Lactobacillales; Lactobacillaceae. The record is from RNAcentral.
GGAUGAACGCUGGCGGCGUGCCUAAUACAUGCAAGUCGAACGCACAGCGAAAGGUGCUUGCACCUUUCAAGUGAGUGGCGAACGGGUGAGUAACACGUGGACAACCUGCCUCAAGGCUGGGGAUAACAUUUGGAAACAGAUGCUAAUACCGAAUAAAACUUAGUGUCGCAUGACACAAAGUUAAAAGGCGCUUCGGCGUCACCUAGAGAUGGAUCCGCGGUGCAUUAGUUAGUUGGUGGGGUAAAGGCCUACCAAGACAAUGAUGCAUAGCCGAGUUGAGAGACUGAUCGGCCACAUUGGGACUGAGACACGGCCCAAACUCCUACGGGAGGCUGCAGUAGGGAAUCUUCCACAAUGGGCGAAAGCCUGAUGGAGCAACGCCGCGUGUGUGAUGAAGGCUUUCGGGUCGUAAAGCACUGUUGUAUGGRAAGAACAGCUAGAAUAGGAAAUGAUUUUAGUUUGACGG